CCUACGGGUGGCAGCAGUGAGGAAUAUUGGUCAAUGGGCGCAAGCCUGAACCAGCCAUGCCGCGUGCAGGAUGACGGCUCUAUGAGUUGUAAACUGCUUUUGUACGGGGGUAAAGCCCGAUACGUGUAUCGGGUUGCAAGUAUCGUACGAAUAAGGACCGGCUAAUUCCGUGCCAGCAGCCGCGGUAAUACGGAGGGUCCGGGCGUUAUCCGGAUUUAUUGGGUUUAAAGGGUGCGUAGGCGGCAUGACAAGUGUGAGGUGAAAUGUCGGGGCUCAACCCGGGAACUGCCGCUGAUACUGUUGAGCUAGAGUGCAGUGGCGGUAGGCGGAAUGUAUGGUGUAGCGGUGAAAUGCUUAGAGAUCAUGAAGAACACCGAUUGCGAAGGCAGCUUACCGAACUGUAACUGACGUUGAGGCACGAAAGCGUGGGUAGCAAACAGGAUUAGAUACCCGAGUAGUC
RNAcentral lists this ribosomal RNA (460 nucleotides) under uncultured bacterium. RNAcentral's name for it is "partial 16S ribosomal RNA". It matches the Rfam family "Bacterial small subunit ribosomal RNA", at positions 338 to 795 of the family's 1533-position model. The record is from RNAcentral.